GACGUAGGGCGCGAGCGUUGUCCGGAUUUAUUGGGCGUAAAGAGCUCGUAGGCGGCUUGUCGCGUCGACUGUGAAAACCCGCGGCUCAACUGCGGGCCUGCAGCCGAUACGGGCAGGCUAGAGUUCGGUAGGGGAGACUGGAAUUCCUGGUGUAGCGGUGAAAUGCGCAGAUAUCAGGAGGAACACCAAUAGCGAAGGCAGCUCGCUGGGACGUUACUGACACUGAGGCGCGAAAGCGUGGGGAGCGAACAGG
RNAcentral lists this ribosomal RNA (253 nucleotides) under uncultured bacterium. RNAcentral describes it as "partial 16S ribosomal RNA". It matches the Rfam family "Bacterial small subunit ribosomal RNA", at positions 524 to 776 of the family's 1533-position model. The record is from RNAcentral.